UACAGAGAUGGAAACCGUGGAGAAAGAGCCUUCUAUUGACUUCCACAAAAAUGUACAUGGCAUGCUUAUCAAAUCUGUAAAUGCCACAAAGCUGGGAGAGAGUAUGAUUGGAUUGCAUUGGUCCAAUAACCUAUCCUUAAAAGGAAAUGCCAUGUGUUGCCCAAAGGAAGUGUGGUUUGAGAAUGUCUAUACUCUAUCACCUAAGUACUUCUUCCACAUCUCACCUGGUGAAAUCCUGCUCUACCUUCAAGACCCAGAUAAGAAGCAUACUUUCUCUACUUCAUCUCCCUCCAACUUCUACCCCAUAACAAAAUGUUGUUAGCUUACGUGACAGCUUACCUCAUUGAGGAGACCCUAGGGCUGAAUACAACCAGCACAAAGUCAUCACAAGACAGGAGCAUCUGGAGAAUCUCUCCAUCUGUAAGGAGUGAAAUAAGUGAAUGAAAACACAUUUGUUAUGUGCUUGUUACAGCAAUAAACGCUGGAAAUAGAAAUGCAAAAACCUAGACUUUCCUUGGAUUAAAAAAGCUUGUGUUCUAAUAG
RNAcentral lists this long non-coding RNA (543 nucleotides) under Sarcophilus harrisii (Tasmanian devil). RNAcentral's name for it is "lncRNA (ENSSHAG00000020769.1)". The record is from RNAcentral. Lineage: Eukaryota; Metazoa; Chordata; Mammalia; Dasyuromorphia; Dasyuridae.